GUACGGGAGGCAGCAGUAAGGAAUAUUGGUCAAUGGACGAAAGUCUGAACCAGCCAUGCCGCGUGAAGGAUUAAGGCCCUCUGGGUUGUAAACUUCUUUUAUCUGGGACGAAAAAAGGGUAUUCUUACUCACUUGACGGUACCAGAGGAAUAAGCACCGGCUAACUCCGUGCCAGCAGCCGCGGUAAUACGGAGGGUGCAAGCGUUAUCCGGAUUUACUGGGUUUAAAGGGUGCGUAGGUGGGCUUGUAAGUCAGUGGUGAAAUCUCCGGGCUUAACCCGGAAACUGCCAUUGAUACUAUAGGUCUUGAAUUAUAUGGAGGUAAGCGGAAUAUGUCAUGUAGCGGUGAAAUGCUUAGAUAUGACAUAGAACACCAAUUGCGAAGGCAGCUUACUACGUAUAUAUUGACACUGAGGCACGAAAGCGUGGGGAUCAAACAGGAUUAGAUACCCUGGU
RNAcentral lists this ribosomal RNA (455 nucleotides) under uncultured bacterium. RNAcentral describes it as "bacterial SSU rRNA". It matches the Rfam family "Bacterial small subunit ribosomal RNA", at positions 339 to 791 of the family's 1533-position model. The record is from RNAcentral.